Molecule: ribosomal RNA, 454 nt
Filed under: uncultured bacterium
Lineage: Bacteria
Description: bacterial SSU rRNA
Rfam family: Bacterial small subunit ribosomal RNA
Source: RNAcentral
GAUGAACGCUGGUGGCGUGCUUAACACAUGCAAGUCGAACGAAGCACUCUAUUUGAUUUUUUUUGGAGAUGAAGAUUUUGUGACUGAGUGGCGGACGGGUGAGUAACGCGUGGGUAACCUGCCUCAUACAGGGGGAUAACAGUUGGAAACGGCUGCUAAUACCGCAUAAGCGCACAGUACCGCAUGGUACCGUGUGAAAAACUCCGGUGGUAUGAGAUGGACCCGCGUUUGAUUAGCUAGUUGGUGGGGUAACAGCCUACCAAGGCGACGAUCAGUAGCCGACCUGAGAGGGUGACCGGCCACAUUGGGACUGAGACCCGGCCCAAACUCCUACGGGAGGCAGCAGUGGGGAAUAUUGCACAAUGGGGGAAACCCUGAUGCAGCGACGCCGCGUGAGCGAAGAAGUAUUUCGGUAUGUAAAGCUCUAUCAGCCGGGAAGAUAAUGACGGUACCU